Long non-coding RNA from Pezoporus flaviventris, 1461 nucleotides. RefSeq lists it as uncharacterized. The record is from RefSeq and is a predicted model, not a curated record. Lineage: Eukaryota; Metazoa; Chordata; Aves; Psittaciformes; Psittacidae. The transcript has 4 exons.
GAUUUUAAUGAAACAGAAGCAAUUUAAGUGCUGAAACCUGCUCUUGGCCAUGCCUUGCAGUGGUUUAUUGAGCUGGGUUCUAUGCAGCGUUAAAGUUCAAAAUGGUUCAUCUUCUUAGGAACCUUGUUGCCCAACAUCCCUCCUAGUGAGCGGGCACCAGCUGAGAUUAUCUUGGGCACAUUUAAAUACCUACUGGAGGAAUUCUGGUUCUUCAUAACCCCAGGCAGGCAACUGGGGAUCAGUCACAACUGGCACCUAAGGCUGGCAGAAUGAAUCUAGGCACUGCUGGAUGUUUAGUUUGGAUUUUGUUCUAUUUCACUUUUAAAACUCCCAUUUAAAUUUUUAUUUCCUUUUUGCUUUUUGUAUCACCACUUCCAAUACAAUGUAGAAUCCUUCUGCUGGCAAAGAUACCAGAACAGUAGAUUGCCUAACGGGGAGAGCAUGGGUAUGGGAUCUUCAUCACUUGGGGCUUUAAAGGCAAGUUAGACAUUUGUCCCCGGAAUCGCACAUCUGCCAAGUGCAGAGAAAGAGUUGAAAAUGACUUUGGAUUCACCUCCACUGGUGAGGGCUGGCCUUAGGCUCGAAUUCCUCCCUUGAAGUUACGUGCUGGAGAAGAGAUGGAAGACAGCAGCUAUGUGUACAGAAAGCAUCCCAGAAAUCACAAAUUACUUGGGGAAACAGGGGAGCUUCAAAGAUCUUCAUGAGAACACCAGCUGCAGGCUGAUUCAUUGAACAGUCACUGGAUGCUAUCUCACUAGGAUGUUACUUGGUGAAAAUCUAUUUUGAAUGUCUGGUGGCGUCUUUGCGCUAAUUUGGAAUAGAAACUUUCAGCAGGGAUUGUUAAAGUGCUAUAGUGGCUAUGCCAAAUCAGACUAAAUAUCACUCUAGCCAAGAAAUCUUUUGCCAGUAGCAAAUGCCCAUAGUAGAACCAGGACAAACAUGUACUCCCCUGUAUACUUCUCCCAGUGAUUCCAGUGACAUUACCAAAAGCAAUGAGUUUUAGGGGAAGCUGUUAACACACUGCUUUACAGGAUUUAUCUCAUGUGAUUGUGCAGAUUCCAGACUUGGGGAACAUCACAUAAAUACAGACUAUGCAUUUCUGACUGUCAGGCAAGACUUCAGCACAGUGAAAGGUGAAUUUGCAUGGUCAUUUUCAUCUUUCUUAAGUGAAACUUCCCACUGAAAGGGAAGCUGACUCCAAGUAAACUCUGGAUGUUAUAAAAGAUACAAACAGAAUGUUAGUGGCUUACUUGUUUAUGUCCUCUUUAUUAACUGGUUUCUGGUUGAGGGUACACAUGCUCUCACUUUUGCUAACUGAUGAAAACACUUGAAGCAACAGCCGAGCCUCUUCAGUGUGACAAUUCACUGUGUCUUGGAAUAAAAGAGAAAAAAAUUGUCACCAUUCAAUACUGUCUUCACAUCCUGGAACCUCGCUCUUGCAAAAUCUGAAACAGACCAAUG